GAACUCUGGUAUUGAUUGGUGCUUGCAUCAUGAUUUACAUUUGAGUGAGUGGCGAACUGGUGAGUAACACGUGGGAAACCUGCCCAGAAGCGGGGGAUAACACCUGGAAACAGAUGCUAAUACCGCAUAACAACUUGGACCGCAUGGUCCGAGCUUGAAAGAUGGCUUCGGCUAUCACUUUUGGAUGGUCCCGCGGCGUAUUAGCUAGAUGGUGGGGUAACGGCUCACCAUGGCAAUGAUACGUAGCCGACCUGAGAGGGUAAUCGGCCACAUUGGGACUGAGACACGGCCCAAACUCCUACGGGAGGCAGCAGUAGGGAAUCUUCCACAAUGGACGAAAGUCUGAUGGAGCAACGCCGCGUGAGUGAAGAAGGGUUUCGGCUCGUAAAACUCUGUUGUUAAAGAAGAACAUAUCUGAGAGUAACUGUUCAGGUAUUGACGGUAUUUAACCAGAAAGCCACGGCUAACUACGUGCCAGCAGCCGCGGUAAUACGUAGGUGGCAAGCGUUGUCCGGAUUUAUUGGGCGUAAAGCGAGCGCAGGCGGUUUUUUAAGUCUGAUGUGAAAGCCUUCGGCUCAACCGAAGAAGUGCAUCGGAAACUGGGAAACUUGAGUGCAGAAGAGGACAGUGGAACUCCAUGUGUAGCGGUGAAAUGCGUAGAUAUAUGGAAGAACACCAGUGGCGAAGGCGGCUGUCUGGUCUGUAACUGACGCUGAGGCUCGAAAGUAUGGGUAGCAAACAGGAUUAGAUACCCUGGUAGUCCAUACCGUAAACGAUGAAUGCUAAGUGUUGGAGGGUUUCCGCCCUUCAGUGCUGCAGCUAACGCAUUAAGCAUUCCGCCUGGGGAGUACGGCCGCAAGGCUGAAACUCAAAGGAAUUGACGGGGGCCCGCACAAGCGGUGGAGCAUGUGGUUUAAUUCGAAGCUACGCGAAGAACCUUACCAGGUCUUGACAUACUAUGCAAAUCUAAGAGAUUAGACGUUCCCUUCGGGGACAUGGAUACAGGUGGUGCAUGGUUGUCGUCAGCUCGUGUCGUGAGAUGUUGGGUUAAGUCCCGCAACGAGCGCAACCCUUAUUAUCAGUUGCCAGCAUUAAGUUGGGCACUCUGGUGAGACUGCCGGUGACAAACCGGAGGAAGGUGGGGAUGACGUCAAAUCAUCAUGCCCCUUAUGACCUGGGCUACACACGUGCUACAAUGGAUGGUACAACGAGUUGCGAACUCGCGAGAGUAAGCUAAUCUCUUAAAGCCAUUCUCAGUUCGGAUUGUAGGCUGCAACUCGCCUACAUGAAGUCGGAAUCGCUAGUAAUCGCGGAUCAGCAUGCCGCGGUGAAUACGUUCCCGGGCCUUGUACACACCGCCCGUCACACCAUGAGAGUUUGUAACACCCAAAGUCGGUGGG
This 1400-nucleotide ribosomal RNA is filed under the name Lactiplantibacillus plantarum. RNAcentral's name for it is "bacterial SSU rRNA". It matches the Rfam family "Bacterial small subunit ribosomal RNA", at positions 64 to 1434 of the family's 1533-position model. The record is from RNAcentral. Lineage: Bacteria; Bacillati; Bacillota; Bacilli; Lactobacillales; Lactobacillaceae.